Erinaceus europaeus (western European hedgehog) is the source of this 336-nucleotide non-coding RNA. The record is from Rfam. Lineage: Eukaryota; Metazoa; Chordata; Mammalia; Eulipotyphla; Erinaceidae.
GGAUUUGAGGGCAAUCUUUCUGCAACAUCUGUCACCCCAUUGAUCACCAGGGUUGAUUUUGCUGAAAUGGCUGGCUAGGCAGAUGUCCCUCCCCUUCCUCCCUCACUGGUCCAUGUACAUCCCUCCUGAAAAAGAGUGCUUUGUCAAAGAGGACAGCCUUUCCCAAAUAGAGAUAGAUGGGUCUUUGGUUGAUGGUAUAUCAGUAGCUGUGCUCCCCUUCUAGAACCUGCAAACAAGAUCUCAAGGUCCAUUUGUAGGAGAAUGUAGGGUAGUCAAGCUUCCAAGACUCUAGACACACCUAAAUGAGGCACUGCAUGUGGCAGUCUGCCUUUAAAA